This is a non-coding RNA of Meleagris gallopavo (turkey), 188 nucleotides long. NCBI's taxonomy places the organism in Eukaryota, Metazoa, Chordata, Aves, Galliformes, Phasianidae. The record is from RefSeq and is a predicted model, not a curated record.
ACAUACAGUGUGCAGAUAAGCAAAUAUUGAACGACAGCCAAACAGGAUGGUUAAAAAGGAAACGUGACAGCUCACGCCUCUCUCAAACUAUUCACGUUCACAGUCGUAACAUACAUCUCCGUGUGCCCUGGAAGAGAAAACAGAAGCUUAUUCAUCCAUGAGUGACAACAGAUUAAUGAUGGAACCAU